GUCUACCGCCACACCUCCCUGAACACACCCGAUCUCAUCUGAGCUCUGAAGCUAAGCAGGGUUGGACCUGGUCAGUACUUGGAAAGGAGAUAAUGAUUUCUAAAGCCUGUUAACA
This 115-nucleotide ribosomal RNA is filed under the name Peromyscus maniculatus bairdii (prairie deer mouse). The record is from RNAcentral. Lineage: Eukaryota; Metazoa; Chordata; Mammalia; Rodentia; Cricetidae.